UGUCGCUCCCCUCCCGGGGCGUUUCCUCCCUAGACUUGGACCGCCGGCGAAAGCCGCGCGGUCCUUUCUUUUGCAGAC
This 78-nucleotide small RNA is filed under the name Bradyrhizobium lablabi. RNAcentral's name for it is "suhB". It matches the Rfam family "Makes More Granules Regulator RNA (mmgR)". Rfam says of the family: SuhB later renamed mmgR (makes more granules regulator) was a putative non-coding RNA found multiple times in the Agrobacterium tumefaciens genome and related alpha-proteobacteria. Other non-coding RNAs uncovered in the same analysis include: speF, ybhL, metA, and serC. RNAcentral also lists the same sequence under 1 other name. The record is from RNAcentral. Lineage: Bacteria; Pseudomonadati; Pseudomonadota; Alphaproteobacteria; Hyphomicrobiales; Nitrobacteraceae.